UGGGGGAUAUUGCACAAUGGGGGAAACCCUGAUGCAGCAACGCCGCGUGAAGGAAGAAGGUCUUCGGAUUGUAAACUUUUGUCUUGUGGGAAGAUAAUGACGGUACCACAGGAGGAAGCUCCGGCUAACUACGUGCCAGCAGCCGCGGUAAUACGUAGGGAGCGAGCGUUGUCCGGAUUUACUGGGUGUAAAGGGUGCGUAGGCGGCUAGACAAGUCAGGUGUGAAAUACCGCAGCUCAACUGCGGGGCUGCACUUGAAACUGUAGAGCUUGAGUGAUGGAGAGGUAAGCGGAAUUCCUAGUGUAGCGGUAAAAUGCGUAGAUAUUAGGAGGAACACCAGUGGCGAAGGCGGCUUACUGGACAUUAACUGACGCUGAGGCACGAAAGCGUGGGGAGCAAACAGG
RNAcentral lists this ribosomal RNA (404 nucleotides) under uncultured bacterium. Its description in RNAcentral is "bacterial SSU rRNA". It matches the Rfam family "Bacterial small subunit ribosomal RNA", at positions 355 to 776 of the family's 1533-position model. The record is from RNAcentral.